CAUCUCAAGAUUCUCAGUAUCGCCAUCUGGCUUCUGACACCGCCAGGUUCUCAGGAUCCCAGUCCAGCCCCAACAUCUCGCUAUUCUAAACACCGGCUCUGGAUACGUAAGCCCAGCCACAAACAUUCCGGGACCCCAAGGCCUGCCCUACUACACACAUGCAUGCGAACCCGCGCAAUUUACCGUUAGGCCGAAAGACCCUUGGGAAGGAUACUGUUUGGGGGAAAAUAAGACAGAACGCAGAGAGACCCUUCUGUCACCCCAGCGAAGUCAGCGUGAGAACUAGAACAAGAAGCACGGUGCAGCUUUGGCCGAACCAGGAUUCUUGAGAUGCGGGUGAACCAUGACCAUUCCUGGCAGUGACCUUUGAGGUCUCCAAGAUGAUGGGGACCUGCAACAACAAAUCCACCUGACUGCAAUAAUGCCAUUAAAGCUGACAACCACCACCCACAAAUCAACUGCUCAGGACAACUUCAAAGCUGCUAAGAGGGUCCAGCCUGAUAACUACUCCAGCCAGGACUUCAAACAAGCCCUGCAUUUUCCCAUCACACCUAGCCUAGACAUCAGCUAGUUCUCCCAGAACUUGACCAUUAUCUUAAUUUUCUCAAGGUCUCCUAAAGGUGCCAUCACCCCCAGACAACAGGAAGUGAUUUUAAGAACGCAAUGCCCAUAUUCCCAAGAGGUAGGGUGGGUGAU
This is a long non-coding RNA of Microtus oregoni (creeping vole), 696 nucleotides long. RefSeq lists it as uncharacterized. The record is from RefSeq and is a predicted model, not a curated record. Lineage: Eukaryota; Metazoa; Chordata; Mammalia; Rodentia; Cricetidae. The transcript is spliced from 3 exons.